CCUCUGGGAAAGCGGAAGGAGCCCGGAGAAGGCUGGGGCCAACUCCACGUUUAAAGGGAAUCAUAGGACUAUGCCAGACUUGAGACAUAAAGACAUUAAAAGCAUUGGAAUUCUACCUCUAGUGCAGGAAACAGACACCAGAUUCCAACUGAGGAAGUCCUGUGUUUCCCAGAAAUCAGUUAUUGGAACUGUGACGUGGAGCUGUUUCACCUGGGUCCCAUGACGAUGUGGCUACCGAUGCAAGCCAGGGGGACUUAAGAGAACAGAUGGACUUGAGAUGGAGAAAGUCAACUU
Molecule: long non-coding RNA, 294 nt
Organism: Heterocephalus glaber (naked mole-rat)
Lineage: Eukaryota; Metazoa; Chordata; Mammalia; Rodentia; Bathyergidae
Source: RefSeq, a predicted model, not a curated record